CUCCAAUUAAAUGAAUGCGCCUCUCGAGUGAAAUUACAUCAAUGAGCUAGUCAUCAACAAGGAAUUUGAUAGCAAACCAUUCUAUUGAGUGCCCCAUAAUUUAUUCAAUAACCGCUAAUCAGGGAGCUGAAAACAGCAAUAAAAAUUGGAUGUAAUUGUUGUCAUACAGAAAUUAAAUCAUACACUCAGUUUAGAGUGCAUACGUUGAACAACAACCUAGCAAAUUAACUAAUUAAAUAUUGAUAUCCUAUUGAAGUGAAUCCUGUUCAUUUGUGAGUAACGCACAGUUUUUCCCUACCCAAUAAGUAACCUAUAAAGACGAUUUUUAUCUCUCAGCUUGUUUGUCUGUGAGGUUUUUUGUCCAUGCUUAUAUUUGGCCCUGCGAAGGAAUAUAAAUCCUUUGACUCUGAACAAACCUUAUAACAAAACAAAGUACUUCUGCCGAGCCUGCACUCUUGCCUUAAUUCAUUUUCACCACUUUUUUUCCAAUGGGCAUGUUUUACAAUGUCUCUAGCUCCGGCUGCUUUGCUGUCAGCACAAUACAAACCGAGUGGAAAUCAGAGUGACUGGGGGCAUCAACUGCCCAGAAGACCAACUGCCCAGCAGACCAACUGCCCAGCAGACCAACUACCCAACAGACCAACUGCCCAGCAGACCAACUGCCCAGCAGACAAACUACCCAGCAGACCAACUGCCCAGCAGACCAACUACCCAGCAGACCAACUGCCCAGAAGACCAACUGCCCAGCAGACCAACUGCCCAGCAGACCAACUACCCAGCAGACCAACUACCCAGCAGACCAACUGCCCAGCAGACCAACUGCCCAGCAGACCAACUACCCAGCAGACCAACUGCCCAGCAGACCAACUGCCCAGCAGACCAACUACCCAGCAGACCAACUACCCAGCAGACCAACUGCCCAGCAGACCAACUACCCAGCAGACCAACUACCCAGCAGACCAACUGCCCAGCAGACCAACUGCCCAGCAGACCAACUGCCCAGCAGACCAACUACCCAGCAGACCAACUGCCCAGCAGACCAACUACCCAGCAGACCAACUGCCCAGAAGACCAACUGCCCAGCAGACCAACUGCCCAGCAGACCAACUACCCAGCAGACCAACUACCCAGCAGACCAACUGCCCAGCAGACCAACUGCCCAGCAGACCAACUACCCAGCAGACCAACUGCCCAGCAGACCAACUGCCCAGCAGACCAACUACCCAGCAGACCAACUGCCCAGCAGACCAACUACCCAGCAGACCAACUACCCAGCAGACCAACUGCCCAGCAGACCAACUGCCCAGCAGACCAACUGCCCAGCAGACCAACUACCCAGCAGACCAACUGCCCAGCAGACCAACUACCCAGCAGACCAACUACCCAGCAGACCAACUGCCCAGCAGACCAACUGCCCAGCAGACCAACUGCCCAGCAGACCAACUACCCAGCAGACCAACUGCCCAGCAGACCAACUACCCAGCAGACCAACUACCCAGCAGACCAACUACCCAGCAGACCAACUACCCAGCAGACCAACUGCCCAGCAGACCAACUACCCAGCAGACCAACUGCCCAGCAGACCAACUACCCAGCAGACCAACUACCCAGCAGACCAACUGCCCAGCAGACCAACUGCCCAGCAGACCAACUGCCCAGCAGACCAACUGCCCAGCAGACCAACUACCCAGCAGACCAACUGCCCAGCAGACCAACUACCCAGCAGACCAACUACCCAGCAGACCAACUACCCAGCAGACCAACUGCCCAGCAUACCAACUGCCCAGCAGACCAACUACCCAGCAGACCAACUACCCAGCAGACCAACUGCCCAGCAGACCAACUGCCCAGCAGACCAACUGCCCAGCAGACCAACUGCCCAGCAGACCAACUGCCCAGCAGACCAACUACCCAGCAGACCAACUACCCAGCAGACCAACUACCCAGCAGACCAACUGCCCAGCAGACCAACUACCCAGCAGACCAACUACCCAGCAGACCAACUGCCCAGCAGACCAACUACCCAGCAGACCAACUACCCAGCAGACCAACUACCCAGCAGACCAACUGCCCAGCAUACCAACUGCCCAGCAGACCAACUACCCAGCAGACCAACUACCCAGCAGACCAACUACCCAGCAGACCAACUGCCCAGCAGACCAACUGCCCAGCAGACCAACUACCCAGCAGACCAACUACCCAGCAGACCAAUGCUCUGCUCCAUGGAUCUGUAACACGUUUAUCUUUAAUAAUACAUCAAUACGAUCGGGGAGCUUUACCAUGCAACGUUAAGGAAUUAGGUCUUUCACAUCGGAUGAGCCUGAAUGUUAGGUUUUUUAAACGGCAUUCUGUUAUUUGCAAGACUACACACACACAAAUAAAGGACUAAAAUAUCAAGAGGGGUCCAACAUGAUCCUCUGUGUUAGUUUGUAGCCCAGUUCUAUAGCCAGAGGUAUGGCUAUGCAGUGAGUAUGGCUCAGUAUAGAUCAGCCUGCUGCGAUUUGGACUGGAGCCGCCCUGAACCGUACAGUGCUGGCUCUGAGAUUCUCUUUUGUCAACGGGAAACUAUGGUGGAGGCGUAACAUGACCGACAGGUGAUUUAUACACGUCAUUGUUGAUUUUUAACUGGUGAUUCUGUUUUUAAUUGCAUCGAGUGUAAACUGUCAGUCUUUCCCACCUGUCAUAUCUGAGAGGACCACAAUUGAAAAAAGCCUUCAGGCAUUAUUGUGUU
This 2731-nucleotide long non-coding RNA is filed under the name Oncorhynchus kisutch (coho salmon). RNAcentral describes it as "lncRNA (ENSOKIG00005032116.1)". Lineage: Eukaryota; Metazoa; Chordata; Actinopteri; Salmoniformes; Salmonidae. The record is from RNAcentral.